Molecule: long non-coding RNA, 284 nt
Organism: Etheostoma spectabile (orangethroat darter)
Lineage: Eukaryota; Metazoa; Chordata; Actinopteri; Perciformes; Percidae
Exons: 3
Source: RefSeq, a predicted model, not a curated record
UAUGUCAUGCCAUCCCGUCUCAGGCCAUCAUGCCGAGGCGUGUCCAGCGGUACACAUCAGUGUCUUUAAAAAAAAAUAACACACCGCAAGUGACACUAUGCACAGUGUGCUGUACCGACCAUCAUUGUCCCCUUUGCCCCACUUCAAUAUACAAGCCCCGGUGUAGGGCAAAGGUUUUGCAGCACAUGCAUGUAGGUGCAUGUAAGGAAUGCCAUUCAACAUGAAGAUUUCUUCAUAACAAAAUGCCACCAGGCCUGCAGGAGUGGAAGCAGUGGUCCAUUCCA